Esox lucius (northern pike) is the source of this 3386-nucleotide long non-coding RNA. NCBI's taxonomy places the organism in Eukaryota, Metazoa, Chordata, Actinopteri, Esociformes, Esocidae. The record is from Ensembl.
CUAAACAAUUCUUUUUUUAUUUAUUUUUCUUCAGAAAACUAAAAGCCGUAGAUUGUAGCCCAUCCUCCACCGAAUCAGUUUAUAGCACUUUUGUUGUCAUACCACACUUUUUGUAGACGCUAUUGAAUUUCUAAGGCUAAACUCAUUUUUAUUUAUUUUUAUUUUCAGAAAACUAAAAGUUGUAGAGUUUAGCCCAUCCUCCACUGAAUCAGAAUAUACAAAUGUUGUAGUCAUGGCACACUUUUUGGAGACGCUAUUGAAUUUCUAAGGCUAAACAAUUAUUUUAAUUUUUUUUUCUUCAGAAAACUAAAACCCGUAGAGUUUAGCACAUCCUCCACCGAGUCAGAAUAUACAACUUUUGAAUUUAUGGCACACUUUUUGUAGACGCCAUUGAAUUUCUAAGGCUAAACACAUUUUAUUUUAUUUUUUUCUUCAGAAAACUAAAUGCCGUAGAUUGUAGCUCAUCCUCCUCCGAGUCAGAAUAUACAUAUUUUGAAUUCAUGGCACACUUUUUGUAGAUGCCAUUGAAUUUCUAAGGCUAAACUAAUUUAUUUAUUUUAUCUUCAGAAUACUAAAAGACUUAAAUUGUAGCCCAUCCUUCACCGAAUCAGAAUAUACAAAUGUAGUAGUCAUGGCACACUUUUUGGAGACGCUAUUGAAUUUCUAAGGCUAAACAAUUAUUAUUUUAUUUUUUUCUUCAGAAAACUAAAAGCCGUAGAUUGUAGCCCAUCCUUCACCGAAUCAGAAUCUACAAAUGUAGUAGUCAUGGCACACUUUUUGGAGACGCUAUUGAAUUUCUAAGGCUAAACUAAUUUAUUUUAUCUUCAGAAUACUAAAAGACGUAAAUUGUAGCCCAUCCUUCACCGAAUCAGAAUAUACAAAUGUAGUAGUCAUGGCACACUUUUUGGAGACGCUAUUGAAUUUCUAAGGCUAAACUAUUUAAAAAAAUUUAUCAUCAGAAAACUAAAACCCGUAGAGUUUAGCCCAUCCUCCCCCCGAAUCAGAAUAUACACAUUUUGUAGUCAUGGUACACUUUUUGGAGACGCUAUUGAGUUUCUAAGGCUAAACAAUUAUUAUGGCACACUUUUUGGAGACGCUAUUGAAUUUCUAAGGCUAAACAAUUAUUUUUUUAUUUUUUUAUUCAGAAAACUAAAAGCCGUAGAUUGUAGCCCAUCCUCCACUGAAUCAGAAUAUACAAAUGUUGUAGUCAUGGCACACUUUUUGGAGACGCUAUUGAAUUUCUAAGGCUAAACUCAUUUUUAUUUAUUUUUAUUUUCAGAAAACUAAAAGUCGUAGAGUUUAGCCCAUCCUCCACUGAAUCAGAAUAUACAAAUGUUGUAGUCAUGGCACACUUUUUGGAGACGCUAUUGAAUUUCUAAGGCAAAAUAAUUAUUUUAAUUUUUUUUAUCUUCAGAAAACUAAAUGCCGUAGAGUUUAGUCCAUCCUUCACCGAAUCAGAAUAUACAAAUUUUGUAGUCAUGGUACACUUUUUGGAGACGCUAUUGAGUUUCUAAGGCUAAACAAUUAUUAUUUAAUUUUUUACUUCAGAAAACUAAAUGCCGUAGAUUGUAGCCCAUCCUCCACCGAAUCAGAUUAUAGCACUCGUGUUGUCAUACCACACUUUUUGUAGACGCCAUUGAAUUUCUAAGGCUAAACAAAAAAAUUUUUAUCUUCAGAAAACUAAAAGUCGUAGAUUGUAGCCCAUCCUCCUCUGAGUCAGAAUAUUGAAUUCAUGGCACACUUUUUGUAGACGCCAUUGAAUUUCUAAGGCUAAACUAAUUUAUUUAUUUUAUCUUCAGAAUACCAAAAGUCGUAGAUUGUAGCCCAUCCUUCACCGAAUCAGAAUUUACAAAUGUGGUAGUCAUGGCACACUUUUUGGAGACGCUAUUGAAUUUCUAAGGCGAAAUAAUUAUUUUAAUUUUUUCUAUCUUCAGAAAACUAAAACCCAUAGAGUUUAGCCCAUCCUCCACCGAAUCAGAAUAUACAAAUUUUGUAGUCAUGGUACACUUUUUGGAGACGCUAUUGAGUUUCUAAGGCUAAACUCAUUUUUAUUUAUUUUUAUUUUCAGAAAACUAAAAGUCGUAGAUUGUAGCCCAUCCUCCUCAGAGUCAGAAUAUACAAAUUUUGAAUUCAUGGCACACUUUUUGUAGACGCUAUUGAAUUUCUAAGGCUAAACUCAUUUUUAUUUAUUUUUAUUUUCAGAAAACUAAAAGUCGUAGAGUUUAGCCCAUCCUCCACUGAAUCAGAAUAUACAAAUGUAGUAGUCAUGGCACACUUUUUGGAGACGCUAUUGAAUUUCUAAGGCGAAAUAAUUAUUUUAAUUUUUUUUAUCUUCAGAAAACUAAAUGCCGUAGAGUUUAGUCCAUCCUUCACCGAAUCAGAAUAUACACACUUUGUAGUCAUGGCACACUUUUUGUAGACGCUAUUGAAUUUCUAAGGCUAAACUCAUUUUUAUUUAUUUUUAUUUUCAGAAAACUAAAAGUCGUAGAUUGUAGCCCAUCCUCCUCAGAGUCAGAAUAUACAAAUUUUGUAGUCAUGGUACACUUUUUGGAGACGCUAUUGAGUUUCUAAGGCUAAACAAUUAUUAUUUUAUUUUUUUCUUCAUAAUACUAAAAGCCGUAGAAUUUAGCACAUCCUCCACCGAAUCAGAAUAUACAACUUUUGAAUUCAUGGCACACUUUUUGUAGACGCCAUUGAAUUUCUAAGGCUAAACACAUUUUAUUUUUUUUUAUCUUCAGAAUACUAAAACCCGUAGAGUUUAGUCCAUCCUCCACCGAAUCAGAAUAUACACAUUUGGUAGUCAUGGCACACUUUUUGUAGACGCUAUUGAAUUUCUAAGGCUAAAUAAUAAUUAGAAGAAGCAUCUCAAGGUCCUGGAGGGGCCUAGCCAGUCUCCAGACCUGAACCCAAUAGAAAAUCUUUGGAGGGAGCUGAAAGUCCAUAUUGCCCAGCAACAGCCCCGAAACCUGAAGGAUCUGGAGAAGGUCUGUAUGGAGGAGUGGGCCAAAAUCCCUGCUGCAGUGUGUGCAAACCUGGUCAAGAACUACAGGAAAAAUUCCGUCACUCACAGUUGAAGAGUACCUAUUAUAAAAAUCACAGACUUCUACAUGCUUUGUAAGUGGGAAAACUUGCAAAAUCGGCAGUGUAUCAAGUACUUGUUCUCCCCACUGUAGGCAUGCCUGGCUUCUUGUUUCGAAACAAGCCUUAAUAGUUCAGAAAGCCUCAGGUUCCCAUUCCUACUCUGGGGCUGCAUCCCGGUGGCUCAGGUUGUGUUUUCCUGUGUCCAGGGGCGCCGUAUGGGCUGGAAAGGUUAGGACGAUUCCAACAGCCUGUGACUGACAGGGGCCCUAAAAAGUUAAUAGAACAUUAGGUUAAAAAAAUUCAAC